Molecule: ribosomal RNA, 1244 nt
Filed under: metagenome
Description: bacterial LSU rRNA
Rfam family: Bacterial large subunit ribosomal RNA
Source: RNAcentral
UGAAUACGAGAUGCUACGGCGUCGAAGCAGUCUAUGUCAUACUUCCAAGAAAAGCUCGCACUGUCAUAAACAAAUAAUGCCUGUACCAUAACCGACACAGGUGGGUAGGUAGAGUAUACUAAGGGGCGCGAGAUAACUCUCUCUAAGGAACUCGGCAAAAUGACUCCGUAACUUCGGGAGAAGGAGUGCCUUAUUUAUAAGGUUGCAAUAACAAGAUCCAAGCAACUGUUUAUCAAAAACACAGGUCUCCGCUAAGUCGUAAGACGAUGUAUGGGGGCUGACGCCUGCCCAGUGCCAGAAGGUUAAAGAAGUUGGUUAGCAUUCGCGAAGCUGAUAACUGAAGCCCUGGUGAACGGCGGCCGUAACGAUAACGGUCCUAAGGUAGCGAAAUUCCUUGUCGGGUAAGUUCCGACCCGCACGAAAGGCGUAAUGAUUUGGAUACUGUCUCGGAGAGGGGCUCGGUGAAAUAGACUUGUCUGUGAAGAUGCGGACUACCUGCACCAGGACAGAAAGACCCUAUGAAGCUUUACUGUAACUUGAGAUUGAAAUUGGACUUUACUUGCGCAGUAUAGGUGGGAGGCGUUGAUAAUAUUCUUGCGGGAUUAUUUGAGCCAUCAGUGAGAUACCACUCUUGUAAUGUUAGAUUUCUAACUUUGUAUCAUUAUCUGGUCAAAGGACAGUUUCAGGCGGGCAGUUUGACUGGGGCGGUCGCCUCCUAAACGGUAACGGAGGCGCACAAAGGUUUCCUCUGAACGGGUAGAAAUCGUAUCUAGAGUGUAAAGGCAUAAGGAAGCUUGACUGUGAGACCUACAAGUCGAGCAGGGACGAAAGUCGGUCUUAGUGAUCUGACGGUGCUGAGUGGAAAGGCCGUCACUCAACGGAUAAAAGUUACUCUAAGGAUAACAGGCUGAUCUCCCCCAAGAGUUCACAUCGACGGGGAGGUUUGGCACCUCGAUGUCGGCUCAUCGCAUCCUGGGGCGGUAGUACGUCCCAAGGGUUGGGCUGUUCGCCCAUGAAAGCGGUACGCGAGCUGGGUUCAGAACGUCGUGAGACAGUUCGGUCCAUAUCCGGUGUAGGCGUUAGAAUAUUGAGAGGAGCCUUCUUUAGUACGAGAGGACCGAGAAGGACAUACCUCUGGUGUACCAGUUAUCGUGCCAACGGUAAACGCUGGGUAGCUAUGUAUGGAGUGGAUAACCGCUGAAAGCAUCUAAGUGGGAAGCCCACCUCAAGAUAAGUAUUCUCAU